This 28-nucleotide non-coding RNA is filed under the name Bombyx mori (domestic silkworm). The record is from RNAcentral. Lineage: Eukaryota; Metazoa; Arthropoda; Insecta; Lepidoptera; Bombycidae.
UAUUAUGGAAAUUGAGAUGACGGGUGGU